GACGAACGCUGGCGGCGUGCCUAAUACAUGCAAGUUGAGCGCUGAAGGUUGGUACUUGUACCGACUGGAUGAGCAGCGAACGGGUGAGUAACGCGUGGGGAAUCUGCCUUUGAGCGGGGGACAACAUUUGGAAACGAAUGCUAAUACCGCAUAAAAACUUUAAACACAAGUUUUAAGUUUGAAAGAUGCAAUUGCAUCACUCAAAGAUGAUCCCGCGUUGUAUUAGCUAGUUGGUGAGGUAAAGGCUCACCAAGGCGAUGAUACAUAGCCGACCUGAGAGGGUGAUCGGACACAGUGGGACUGAGACACGGCCCAAACUGCUACGGGAGGCAGCAGGAGGGAAGCUUAGGCAAUGGACGAAAGUCUGACAGAGCAACGCCGAGUGAGUGAAGAAGGUUGUCGGAUCGUAAAACUAUGUUGGUAGAGAAGAACGUUGGUGAGAGGGGAAAGCUCAUCAAGUGACGGUAACUACCCAGAAAGGGACGGCUAACUACGUG
RNAcentral lists this ribosomal RNA (497 nucleotides) under uncultured bacterium. Its description in RNAcentral is "partial 16S ribosomal RNA". It matches the Rfam family "Bacterial small subunit ribosomal RNA", at positions 28 to 507 of the family's 1533-position model. The record is from RNAcentral.